GAAGUCGAGAUUUUAAAUUCUAAUCCUCUCCCACAGAACCAAAAAGUAAUAUUUUAUACUAAGAUUCUAUUCAAAAUUGAGAAUACAUAGAGGCACAACCUUCUCAAAAGGAACUUCAUACUGAAUAUCGAAGCAAUUAGAAUGAGAUCAUUCUGGCAAUAUGGAAACGGCAAGGGAUUUUGGCCAGUUGCCUAGUUUUAUGACAUAACGAGCUACCAUCCUCAAAGAUGGCCUCUAAUCAUCAGCAAAAAACUUAAAAUCUGCCCAAAUACACCAAUAAUUAUUUGAUAUUACUUGAUCCUGUUUGUUUAAAUAUUAAACUGAAUGCGAGUUUUUCUUCAGCUCCAUCAGCAACUUAAUGACUCCACAAUGUGUUUCUGCCGGGAUCCAACUAUUGCAUCAAUGAUACAGGAAGCUCCAAAUCUACUUAUAACACCACCAGUGGCUCUUAGCAGACAUCUACAUACUAACAUUUCUCCUGUAUAUCAAAUCAACAAGGGAACGUAUUUUCAAAACAACUCUCAGAAAGCCUUUGAGAAGCCGUGAUAUCACCAAAACAAGACGAAUUCCAAUCAAACGUAACCUAAAUAUGUGGGAGUUCUUCACUAAAAGAAUAAGCUCCCCUUAAUCCACUGCCUAUCUGAAGAAAGACAAUCUCUGAGGGUAGUCAUCAAAGGGAAUGUUUGAAGCAUCAUGACCUUAUCCGGAGGCCUUGGCAAGAAGCAAACACAGACGCCAACUACUUCAGCAACACUCUCCAUAUCUUACUCAUGUACACAGCCAGAGACCAUACUGAAAGACCUGCUGAGAUAUAAAGCAAAACAACACCAGAAGCUACCAAAAUCCCAGGUCCUCCAAGACUGAACAAAGAAAGGGCAGAGGCAGAGAAGGUCAGAUGUCUCAGAGGACAAUCCAAUGAGACUUCUUUUAUGCAUCAUGAAUAAGUAGAUGAGACUACUGACUAGGUCAAAAAAGCAGGAAGAACAAUAUGAAAAAGAAAGUGGGUAGGGACCUGCUGUCUCUGGUAGCCAGGAGAAUGAUUAGUGCAGUCAUCUGUGUUGCAGUUUUCCACUUCCCCAAGUUAUUAACAGCAACUGCCUCUAAGAGUUUACAAUUCUGUGAAGCUGCCUAUUCUCUGACUGCGGACAUAGUUAUCUACAAAUAAAUAGGCAAUUGGUUUGUCAAAUAAAAUAGCAUUCCCCAAAAUAUCAAAUGAAAAUAGCUUGUUGUCUGAAGGGUAAAACUAGAUAAACAGUAUACAUCAAAGGACUGUCAGGAUAAGCACACUAAUGACGCCAGCAAAGCAUUGAUUUGUGUAAUAGUGGCAUGGGGAGAAGAGAGAGAGAGAGAGUAAACGUAACAAAACGAUUAAAGAACAUAUAAUUCUCCCAUGCAACGAAUGCAAAAAGUAAAAGCAUCAAUUAAACUUAUUAAAAUAAUGAAUACAUAACCAAGACAUAUAAACCCUACUAAAAAGGCACUUUAACCUAAACCCUAAAGAAGGGGGAAAAUAGUUGAACUCCAAUGAGCAAGCCCACUCAAGUGUGACCUUAUGAUAUUACAGUUAUAAUAAAAUAAUUACAAAUAACAAUAUCACAUCCCAACCAAUUAUGGCUAUUGAUGGUACAGUCAGUGGCCAUGACACUUGUCCAAAGAUUGCAACUUCCAGAGGUCUAGUACACAAUAAGACCAAGGUGGCAGCAACCAUAAGUUUAUCAGCCACUGGAUCCAAAAAUGCACCAAAGGCAGAGCCUAACCUCAUCUUUCGGGCUAGGUAUCCAUCAAGCCAAUCAGUAACUGCUGCAGCAAUGAAAAUACUUGUUGUAGCAGUUCUCCCCCACCAACUAUCCACAUAAAAAGUGCUAACGAGAAGCGGCACAGCAGCGACACGGCCGAGGGUUAAAAUGGUAGGCAGCGUGAGCAAUUUAUGAUAGGAAUCUUGUUGACUUUGGCAAUUUUGCAAAGACGGCGACGGCGGCUGAUUCCGACUGUCUGAAUGGUUAUUCUCGUACCAAUCAAUCCCGUUAACCUUGUUCUCGGACCCCAUAUCUGCUAGACCCGAUCCGGUAGACGACGAAUCGGACCCAGAGAAGCCUCCCGUUUUUGGAGCGUUGGAGGAGGAGGAGGAG
RNAcentral lists this unclassified non-coding RNA (2129 nucleotides) under Hevea brasiliensis (rubber tree). The record is from RNAcentral. Lineage: Eukaryota; Viridiplantae; Streptophyta; Magnoliopsida; Malpighiales; Euphorbiaceae.